Long non-coding RNA from Hirundo rustica (Barn swallow), 1189 nucleotides. RefSeq lists it as uncharacterized. Lineage: Eukaryota; Metazoa; Chordata; Aves; Passeriformes; Hirundinidae. The transcript is spliced from 3 exons. The record is from RefSeq and is a predicted model, not a curated record.
GGUCACCUGGCCCUGGCUCCCUCCUUGCCACAAGAAACCACUCCGAACACCUUCCGGCAUAAGAACAGGAAAAAUGCAUGUCCAGAUCAAUCUUCCAGCUUGUAUUUUCUGUACCUGUGGGCUGUAGGGAAAGGGUAAAGUGAGUGAGAGGCUGCGUGGGGCUCAGUUGCCGUCCUGGGUUUUACCACUGAAAGCAUUUUCCAGCCCUACCGGAAUUAGGCAUUUCUAGAGGCUCUUUUCGCCGUCAUAUCAAGAACUGGAACAGAAGAAGCAUCCUAAAUAAAAUGGAUGAAGGGAUUUUUGGAGUAAGAGGCCAAAAUCUAAAUAGGCUCACUGUGUUCCCAGCCAAACUUUAAAUCAGAAUAUCUCUGAUACGCCCGUGCAAAAAUAGAUUCACAACUUCUGUCGAAGCUGUGCCUCUCUUUGGUGUUGCACAUAUAAUUAGGCAUGACUGUCAGAUUUUCAGGAUACUGGAUGGUUUUAUUCAGGAGGCCAUGGGUAGUGCAAUUAAAGUGAAAUGGUAAGUGAUGGGCACAGGAAAAGGGGGGCAGCAUUAACUGAAUCGCAGGAGAAUAAAGCCAUAGGAAUGGGGAACACCUAAUGCCACUUCCUGUAAAAUUUCCUGUUUUCAGUUGCAUCGUUUUUCUUAUUGUAGGCUAAACCUAUGUUCUCACAAAUGUUGCUGUACUUGUGUCAGGUACAGGUUUUUCACUCGAUGCAUGUAUUCACACAAUUACAUCUAUCAUGGAUUGUGCCAUCAGUUGGCAAGAAUUGUUUUCUCUUUCGUAUAUAGCAUUUGUUCUUAAAAUGUAGGUAGGAGAACCCAGUAUAGAGACUCACUGUGAAAGAUUGUUCCCUUUAGAAGAAUUCCUGCCCUGGAAAUGGAUUCAUUCUAAUGACUUCUAACCAUCCAAUUUAAAAAUCAUGCAAGAAUGGUAAUGUUUUUCAUCUUCUAUUGUUGAAUCUUCGAGGUGUUCAGUGAUUUCCUGUUCUUAAAAGUUUCAUUUUCUGCCUUGUCAUGAUGGAAGGUAUGCAAACUACUGUUAAGUGACAGCUGUAUUCUCUGUACUAUUUUGAAGUCGGCCCAUGCAGAGAUCAUUUGCAAUGUGGAAAUUUGGACCUAAUUAUCCAUUCAUUACAUACCAAAAAGUAUUUGUUGAAUGAAUUUUUCAUCAGGUCGUGGUGAAAC